GGGGAAUUUUGGACAAUGGGGGGAACCCUGAUCCAGCCAUCCCGCGUGUGCGAUGAAGGCCUUCGGGUUGUAAAGCACUUUUGGCAGGGAAGAAACGGCGUCGGAUAAUACCUGACGUCACUGACGGUACCUGCAGAAUAAGCACCGGCUAACUACGUGCCAGCAGCCGCGGUAAUACGUAGGGUGCAAGCGUUAAUCGGAAUUACUGGGCGUAAAGCGUGCGCAGGCGGUUUGGAAAGAGGGAUGUGAAAUCCCAGGGCUUAACCUUGGAACUGCAUUCUUAACUGCCAGGCUAGAGUAUGUCAGAGGGGGGUAGAAUUCCACGUGUAGCAGUGAAAUGCGUAGAUAUGUGGAGGAAUACCGAUGGCGAAGGCAGCCCCCUGGGAUAAUACUGACGCUCAUGCACGAAAGCGUGGGGAGCAAAC
Molecule: ribosomal RNA, 425 nt
Filed under: uncultured bacterium
Lineage: Bacteria
Description: bacterial SSU rRNA
Rfam family: Bacterial small subunit ribosomal RNA
Source: RNAcentral